This 800-nucleotide ribosomal RNA is filed under the name uncultured bacterium. RNAcentral describes it as "bacterial SSU rRNA". It matches the Rfam family "Bacterial small subunit ribosomal RNA", at positions 8 to 802 of the family's 1533-position model. The record is from RNAcentral.
AGAGUUUGAUCCUGGCUCAGAACGAACGCUGGCGGCGCGCCUAAUACAUGCAAGUCGAGCGAGAAGACGUAGCAAUACGUUUGUAAAGCGGCGAACGGGUGAGGAAUACAUGGGUAACCUACCCUCGAGUGGGGAAUAACUAACCGAAAGGUUAGCUAAUACCGCAUACGACUCCUGGUCUGCGGAUCGGGAGGGAAAGCGAUACCGUGGGUAUCGCGCUCUUGGAUGGGCUCAUGUCCUAUCAGCUUGUUGGUGAGGUAACGGCUCACCAAGGCUUCGACGGGUAGCUGGUCUGAGAGGACGAUCAGCCACACUGGCACUGCGACACGGGCCAGACUCCUACGGGAGGCAGCAGUAAGGAAUAUUGCGCAAUGGGCGACAGCCUGACGCAGCGAUGCCGCGUGGGGGAUGAAGGUCUUCGGAUUGUAAACCCCUUUCGGCAGGGAAGAUGGAACGGGUAACCGUUCGGACGGUACCUGCAGAAGCAGCCACGGCUAACUUCGUGCCAGCAGCCGCGGUAAUACGAAGGUGGCAAGCGUUGUUCGGAUUUACUGGGCGUACAGGGAGCGUAGGCGGUUGGGUAAGUCCUCCGUGAAAUCUCCGGGCCUAACCCGGAAAGUGCGGAGGGGACUGCUCGGCUAGAGGAUGGGAGAGGAGCGCGGAAUUCCCGGUGUAGCGGUGAAAUGCGUAGAGAUCGGGAGGAAGGCCGGUGGCGAAGGCGGCGCUCUGGAACAUUUCUGACGCUGAGGCUCGAAAGCGUGGGGAGCAAACAGGAUUAGAUACCCUGGUAGUCCACGCCU